UUUCUGCAAGGUGCUGCAUGGUUGUCGUCAGCUCGUGCCGUGAGGUGUCGGGUUAAGUCCCAUAACGAGCGCAACCCUUAUCGUUAGUUGCCAUCUGGUAAUGCAGGGGACUCUAGCGAAACUGCCACCGUAAGGUGAGAGGAAGGUGGGAUGACGUCAAAUCAGCACGGCCCUUAUGUCCAGGGCUACACACGUGUUACAAUGGCCGGCACAGAGGGCAGCUACCUGGUGACAGGAUGCUAAUCUCGAAAACCGGUCUCAGUUCGGAUCGAAGUCUGCAACUCGACUUCGUGAAGCUGGAUUCGCUAGUAAUCGCGCAUCAGCCAUGGCGCGGUGAAUACGUUCCCGGGCCUU
This 354-nucleotide ribosomal RNA is filed under the name uncultured Sphingobacteriales bacterium. Its description in RNAcentral is "bacterial SSU rRNA". It matches the Rfam family "Bacterial small subunit ribosomal RNA", at positions 1028 to 1382 of the family's 1533-position model. The record is from RNAcentral. Lineage: Bacteria; Pseudomonadati; Bacteroidota; Sphingobacteriia; Sphingobacteriales.